This 305-nucleotide ribosomal RNA is filed under the name uncultured bacterium. Its description in RNAcentral is "partial 16S ribosomal RNA". It matches the Rfam family "Bacterial small subunit ribosomal RNA", at positions 506 to 808 of the family's 1533-position model. The record is from RNAcentral.
ACAGCAGUAGCCGCGGUAAUACGUAGGUCCCGAGCGUUGUCCGGAUUUAUUGGGCGUAAAGCGAGCGCAGGCGGUUAGAUAAGUCUGAAGUUAAAGGCUGUGGCUUAACCAUAGUACGCUUUGGAAACUGCUUAACUUGAGUGCAAGAGGGGAGAGUGGAAUUCCAUGUGUAGCGGUGAAAUGCGUAGAUAUAUGGAGGAACACCGGUGGCGAAAGCGGCUCUCUGGCUUGUAACUGACGCUGAGGCUCGAAAGCGUGGGGAGCAAACAGGAUUAGAUACCCCAGUAGUCCCUGUCUCUUAUACA